UGAGGAAUAUUGGUCAAUGGGCGCGAGCCUGAACCAGCCAAGUCGCGUGAGGGAAGACGGUCCUAUGGAUUGUAAACCUCUUUAGCCGGGGAGCAAGCCGGUGCACGCGUGCACCGGCGGAGAGUACCCGGAGAAUAAGCAUCGGCUAACUCCGUGCCAGCAGCCGCGGUAAUACGGAGGAUGCGAGCGUUAUCCGGAUUUAUUGGGUUUAAAGGGUGUGUAGGCGGGCUGUUAAGUCAGCGGUAAAAGUGUCGGGGCUCAACCCCGGCCGGCCGUUGAAACUGGCGGUCUUGAGUGAGCGAGAAGUAUGCGGAAUGCGUGGUGUAGCGGUGAAAUGCAUAGAUAUCACGCAGAACUCCGAUUGCGAAGGCAGCAUACCGGCGCUCAACUGACGCUGAGGCACGAAAGGCGUGGGGAUCAAACAGGAUUAGAUACC
Molecule: ribosomal RNA, 436 nt
Filed under: uncultured bacterium
Lineage: Bacteria
Description: bacterial SSU rRNA
Rfam family: Bacterial small subunit ribosomal RNA
Source: RNAcentral